This 132-nucleotide transfer RNA is filed under the name marine sediment metagenome. It matches the Rfam family "tRNA". From Rfam's summary of the family: Transfer RNA (tRNA) molecules are approximately 80 nucleotides in length. Their secondary structure includes four short double-helical elements and three loops (D, anti-codon, and T loops). The record is from RNAcentral.
GGGCCCGUAGCUCAGCCUGGUUGGAGCACUGGUCUUAUAAGGCGGUGUUUCAUACACCUUAGGAUAGCCAGGGGUCCUGGGAUGUUAGAAGAAUAUUCUGCUAACACAGGAAUUCAAAUCCCAGCGGGCCCA